This 253-nucleotide ribosomal RNA is filed under the name uncultured bacterium. Its description in RNAcentral is "partial 16S ribosomal RNA". It matches the Rfam family "Bacterial small subunit ribosomal RNA", at positions 524 to 776 of the family's 1533-position model. The record is from RNAcentral.
UACGAAGGGGGCUAGCGUUGCUCGGAAUCACUGGGCGUAAAGCGCACGUAGGCGGACUCUUAAGUCGGGGGUGAAAUCCUGGAGCUCAACUCCAGAACUGCCUUCGAUACUGGGAGUCUUGAGUCCGGGAGAGGUGAGUGGAACUGCGAGUGUAGAGGUGAAAUUCGUAGAUAUUCGCAAGAACACCAGUGGCGAAGGCGGCUCACUGGCCCGGUACUGACGCUGAGGUGCGAAAGCGUGGGGAGCAAACAGG